AACCUGCGGAAGGAUCAUUAAUGAAAUAAACCUGAUGGGUUGUUGCUGGUUCUCUAGGGAGCAUGUGCACACCUUGUCAUCUUUAUAUCUCCACCUGUGCACCUUUUGUAGACCUUUCAGGUCUAUGUUGCCCCAUUUACCCCAAUGUAUGUUAAUAGAAUGUUGUGACUAUAUAAUAUAUACAACUUUCAGCAACGGAUCUCUUGGCUCUCGCAUCGAUGAAGAACGCAGCGAAAUGCGAUAAGUAAUGUGAAUUGCAGAAUUCAGUGAAUCAUCGAAUCUUUGAACGCACCUUGCGCUCCUUGGUAUUCCGAGGAGCAUGCCUGUUUGAGUGUCAUUAAUAUAUAUAUCAACCUUCUCUUGUUGAAUGGUUUGGAUGUGGGGGUUUGCUGGCCUCUUGAAGGGGUUCAGCUCUCCUGAAAUGCAUUAGCAGAACAAACCUUGUUCAUUGGCGUGAUAACUAUCUACGCUAUUGAAUAUUAGGGGCAUUUCAGCUUUCUAACAGUCCUCGGACAACUCAUCAUUAAUGUGACCUCAAAUCAGGUAGGACUACCCGCUGAACUUAA
Molecule: ribosomal RNA, 566 nt
Filed under: Cortinarius pulchellus
Lineage: Eukaryota; Fungi; Basidiomycota; Agaricomycetes; Agaricales; Cortinariaceae
Description: eukaryotic LSU rRNA
Rfam family: 5.8S ribosomal RNA (bases 184-337)
Source: RNAcentral